This 413-nucleotide ribosomal RNA is filed under the name uncultured bacterium. RNAcentral's name for it is "bacterial SSU rRNA". It matches the Rfam family "Bacterial small subunit ribosomal RNA", at positions 505 to 916 of the family's 1533-position model. The record is from RNAcentral.
GUGCCAGCCGCCGCGGUAAUACGUAGGGGGCGAGCGUUGUCCGGAAUCACUGGGCGUAAAGGGUGCGUAGGCGGCUUGGCAAGUCCUGUGUGAAAGGUCGCGGCUCAACCGCGGUGGGUCAUGGGAAACUGCCAAGCUCGAGUGCCGGAGAGGAUAGCGGAAUUCCCGGUGUAGCGGUGAAAUGCGUAGAGAUCGGGAGGAACACCAGUGGCGAAGGCGGCUAUCUGGAAGGUCACUGACGCUGAGGCACGACAGCUGGGGGAGCAAACAGGAUUAGAUACCCUGGUAGUCCCAGCCGUAAACGAUGAGUGCUAGGUGUUGCGGGUAUCGACCCCUGCAGUGCCGAAGUCAACACAAUAAGCACUCCGCCUGGGGAGUACGGCCGCAAGGCUGAAACUCAAAUAAAUUGACGG